CCUCGGGGAGCCCGCCAGAGGUACAAACUCUUAUCUUUCUAGAAAAGUCUUCUGAGUAUCUUGAAAAAUCAAGUAAAAACUUUCAACAACGGAUCUCUUGGUUCUGGCAUCGAUGAAGAACGUAGCGAAAUGCGAUAAGUAAUGUGAAUUGCAGAAUUCAGUGAAUCAUCGAAUCUUUGAACGCACCUUGCGCCCUGUGGUAUUCCGCAGGGCAUGCCUGUUUGAGUGUCACGUAAACCCUCACCCAAGUGAUGUUACAGUUGCUUGUGGUGGACUUGGAUGUUGCCGUAAUUGGCUCAUCUUGAAAUGCAUUAGCUGUGCAUCCAUUAGCGUGCGCGUGAGUCUUCGUGAUAAUUAUUUCGAUGUGCUCUAGCCGCUUCCAGUGGUGCUGCUUCCAAUGGUCCCUCGUUGGACAACCAAAACUUUAAGCUUUGGCCUCAAAUCAGGUAG
This 450-nucleotide ribosomal RNA is filed under the name uncultured fungus. RNAcentral's name for it is "eukaryotic LSU rRNA". The stretch from base 78 to 231 matches the Rfam family "5.8S ribosomal RNA". Lineage: Eukaryota; Fungi. The record is from RNAcentral.